This 497-nucleotide ribosomal RNA is filed under the name uncultured bacterium. RNAcentral's name for it is "partial 16S ribosomal RNA". It matches the Rfam family "Bacterial small subunit ribosomal RNA", at positions 28 to 507 of the family's 1533-position model. The record is from RNAcentral.
GAUGAACGCUGGCGGCGUGCCUAAUACAUGCAAGUCGAGCGAACAGACGAGGAGCUUGCUCCUCUGACGUUAGCGGCGGACGGGUGAGUAACACGUGGAUAACCUACCUAUAAGACUGGGAUAACUUCGGGAAACCGGAGCUAAUACCGGAUAAUAUAUUGAACCGCAUGGUUCAAUAGUGAAAGACGGUUUUGCUGUCACUUAUAGAUGGAUCCGCGCCGCAUUAGCUAGUUGGUAAGGUAACGGCUUACCAAGGCAACGAUGCGUAGCCGACCUGAGAGGGGGGGGGCCACAAGUGAACGAGAACCCGGGCCCGAACCCUGCGGGGAGGAGCAAGAGGGAAUUCUUCAGAAAUGGGGAAAGGCCGACGGGAGAAGCGCGGGGGGAGGAAUGAAGUUCUUAGAAUCAAAACAUUUUUUAAGUAGGGAAAAAAAAAUUUGAAAGUAACUAGGCGCGUCUGGAGGGAACCUAAUAAGAAGACCAGGACAAAUUAGGUC